GCCGGGCGUAGUGGUGUGUGCCUGUAAUCCCAGCUACUCAGGAGGCUGAGGCAGGAGAAUUGCUUGAACCUGGGAGGCAGAGGUUGCAGUGAGCCAAGAUCACACCACUGCAUCCUAGCCUGGGUGACAGAGCGAGACUCCGUCUCAA
Molecule: non-coding RNA, 148 nt
Filed under: Pan troglodytes (chimpanzee)
Lineage: Eukaryota; Metazoa; Chordata; Mammalia; Primates; Hominidae
Source: Rfam by way of RNAcentral